AUCACAUCGUGAUGGGAGUCUACGCGCUCUCCUACCCGCUGGUAGGCUACACCAUUGGGCUGAUGCAGUCUGCCAAUUGGUACUUCAACGACUUCACCGUGUGGGCUGUGUUCCUGCUUCUGCUCCUCAGCAGCACGGAUAGCCUCACAGCUUGCCGCCUCGACGACAUCGACAACUGGAAGAACAUCUACGUGAAACAACUCUUUAAGGGGUUCUUGUUGGUGUUUAUCAUUCUAAAGUUUGGCCGUCAGAUGAUGAUGAGGAAUUUGGAUGCCGACUACCUGUGGUACCCGCUCUCAGCCAUCCUGGUCGUUAUCGUCCUCAAGUCAUAUCUGAUGAUAGCUUCCAUGAGGAUGGUGUAACACACUAAAAAAAAAAUCAAAGGCCCAGCCAGCCCAACCCUUUUCCCUGGCCCGUUGCCCCCUCUCCCAUCUUAUCCAGACCAGUCCUCUCUUCCUUCUCACGUUUCUUCCUCCUUCCCUGCUCUCCCAUGGCUUCCCCUCCCUAAAUCCCCUCUCUACAGCAGCAAACCCUUGGGGGGAACUAGCAAAACGGAUCGAGGACAACAAGAGGAGCAAGAAAGGUGCAUCUUCCAUGUAGAUCGGUCCUUUCCCCAUAUCUUCCCGCUGCCCUAGGGUUUGGGGAACGACUAAGGUGAGGUGAAUCCACUUUAGAUCUGCUAAUUGAUGUUUUUAGGAGGUUCUUGGUCCUGAGGAUUAGUGGAUUUGUUGGGGAAAACACGGUUUGAAGGUCGAUUUAAGGUGUGCUGUCCUGUAGCUCGGGCAGUGCUGCUGUCCUUGUAGAUUUGGUGACCUAAACGAUUUCUCCUCCAAAAGUGGAUCAUACAAAAGUUGUAGAGAAUUAUGAGAUGUAACUGCUGUCCAAGUUUCAUAUUUUUGGUGGAGUAUACCUUCAGUUAUUGAAUAUUGUUUGGACGCUGUUUCUGAAUGUCCAGAUUUUUGACAGCAGAUGUUCAGAGAUGUAUUAGAUGAUCUUAAGGAUGGAAUUCGUGGAAACCCAUAAUAACAAAGUUUUAGGUUUCUCAGAGAUAUAUGUCCUGACAAAAUUUUAGAAUUUUUGGACAAGGGGUUUGGGAGAUAUGAAUUUUUGUAUGCUGCUGCCCGAAAUUUCAGACAGAUUCUGUACUUCACAUUCAACUGCAGUUUUACCCCUCUUUGGAUUAUGCUAAAAAUAAAGGAUCUGAACAAAGUUAUAAGAUUUCUCCCUUAAUUUUCUAAGAUAUAUUUGCUUGCUGUCAUAUCUUUUGUAAUUUUAAAGAUACAAAAAAGUGAAGCAGCACUGCUGCGGUUAACCUAGGUGAUGUUUACCAUCGUCGCUUGUUUGACCGGUUGGGCUAUAUGGGUGCUUUACUUGCUGUGUGCACAUGGUUGUUUGAGGAUAUGUUCUGAUCUUAUUGUGUCAAAACAGGUGGUAACGCUCCGGAUCACGCUUAGAGCGGCUAUCUCCUUCAUUGGGAGGCAAGUAACGUAGCGGUGGUUGCUACAAGCUUUAAUUUGCUAUUUUUCCUACCUCCACCUUAAAUUUCAGAAUGAUAACUUAUCCAAUAUCAUCCAUUCAAUUACAAGUUUAUGCACAUCUUACUGUUGUUAUUACAUAUGCCUUAUUCUUUACUUUAUAACUUGGUAAUGGCUCUUGUUAGCAUAAUUAUGAUGAGGUUUAUGUUGUCAAAUGAGGAGAGACUUAUCUGGUAUAUGCGGUGUAUACUCUCUUUGUGCGAUCUGUCUUGGCAUUGCAUUUCAUUGCAUCACAAUGCAUGGCAUAUGGAGUUAAUUCGCCGCUUGAUAGCCGCGACCGUACCGGUACAGCAUCGUUUAUUGGGCAUAACGGUGCAGCUUCAUACUUUGUUGAGUAUGAAGGCAGGAGACAUGGCAUUUGCAUUGCAUUUGCAUUUAGGGUGCUAUCGGUUUUCUAUGGUAUUUAUUUGGCAGUGGUGGUGAGAAGUGAAUUUUCUCCAAGGUUUGGUGACGAAUUGGUUUUAUUUAUGUAUGAGGGUGUUGGAGUUAUUAUUAUUAUUAUUAUUCAUUGAGGAGAUACACUUACUGAUAAUAGUUAAACCAUGGUCUAAUGAACUUGUAGUUUAAAUAGCUUGUUAAAGCUAGUUACUUGCUGAGAUUUUAUAUCUCACCCCUAUUUUUUUGUUAUCCUCUCAGGUACUUGAUGGAUGGAUGCUUUGCUUGGGGGGUUGGGAAGUAGCAGCACGUCAUACACUUCUCUUUAAUCAAAAUCCUCUAGUGUGAUACUGUAAUAUUUAAGUCCUUCUCUAUGAGAGUCUAUUUGUUGCUUAAUGAUGGUUAAGCUUUGUUAAACCUUGCCUUAAUCGUUUGAAUUUCAUGUUAGGAUCUUUUAUUUAUGCUAGUGUGCUUUAUCUAUUUUCAUAUCUUAUUGUUUCUUGCUUCCGCGGUGUUCCUGAUUUAGGGAAGAUGCUGUCAAAAUCUGUCCCUUUUGUCCGAUGUGGCUUAGUAGCAUCCUAAGGUGGCGUUUGUUUUUCUUGGGGUGUUACAGUUGGUAAUCAGAGCUUAGGUUAAUUUAAUCCUAGGAAAAAAUAAAGUCUAAUUUGACACACUUGCACUUGUAGGUUGGGUACGGGUACAUUGGUGUGUAUGGAUUAUUUUGUCUUUAUGCAUACUUUAAAUUGUUGGAGCUUGAUAUUUGUGUUGUCUGUGUCUUGUGGUGGCUGCAGUUAUGCCGCCUAAGAAGCAAGGUCGGGCACGACCAGCGAGCGGUGCCCAAGCUGAUGGCACUAGUCAAGCAGAAUUACUUGCCGCAAUGCGUGAGAUGCAAAAUGAGAUGAGGACUUUGAGGCAGGCUGCUCGUGCGGGUGCAGCACAACCUAAUCCUACUACCUCUACUCAGGAAGUUGCUGCCCCAGUUGGCCCUGAGAGUGGUGUCUCGCUGAGAGAGUGGGUUGGCAUGAAGCUCGAUAGUUUUGAUGGCAAUGGUACUCCUAUUCAGGCUGCUGAUUGGUUGUCAUAUGUGGAGGAUAAGAUGGAAGCUUUUGAGGUGUCAGCUCAUGAUCGUGUUCGUUAUGGGGCACAAUUACUAAAGGGUGAGGCACAGAUUUGGUGGAAGGGUGUGCAGUCAGCUCGCACGGCUACGCAUGGUUCUUUAACUUGGCCUGAGUUUGUUAGGCAGUUUGAGAGGAGGUUUUACCCAGUGACCUUCCUGGACAAGAUGAAAAUUGAGCUAAAUAACUAUGUGCAGGAAAGGAAGACAGUGGCUGAGUAUGAGGUGGGGUUCAACCAGAUUGUUCGCUUUGUUCCACAUGUGGCCCAUGAUGAUGCAGAGAAAGCAAGGCAAUUUCGUCAAGGCCUUAAGCCUUCAAUUCGCCAUGUGUUGGGUGCCUUUGAAGUCACAGACUUUCGCUCCAUGGUAGAGAAAGCCUUGGGAGUUGAGAUGCAGCUUCAGGUCACAGCUGAUCUAAAUAAGUCUUUGAGUGGUGACCAGUCUCAUGGUCAGGGUGACAAGAAGGUCCAUUCUGGUGGUCAUGUUCAUAGGAAGGGCAAGUUUCAGCGUCACCAGCCGUACCGUGGUGGUUCAGCUCAGUCUCGUACUCCAGGAGGGAGUACUCCUCAGUAUCGUGCCAUUCCCAAACCUGGCACGGGGAUGGUGUGCUUCAAAUGUGGAGAUGCGCAUCAUCUUCGAGAGUGCCGAUGGUCCGGCAAGUGCUCUAUUUGUGGUCAAGAUCACAAGGACGUGGUUUGUAGGAAGAAUCCUGAUGCCAAGCUUCGUUGGGAGCUAGUGUCUUCUUCAGCUCCCAAUGGUGCAUUCCAUAUGAUGGCGGCUGCAUCUUCUACUCCUCACCUACCUGCACCGCCACCGCAGCAGCACCUACUUGCACCGCCACCGCAGCAGUACCUACCUGCCCCUACACCUCAGUACUUGCUAGCGCCACCGGUGACUCCAUCGGCUGCCCCUACACUUCAGACUGGGGCUUACUGGAUGCCCCAUGCUACUCCUUCAGCACCCAUGGUUCCAUGGGCUCCCACUCCGACGGGUCCUACUUCGGGUGCCUCUUCUUCGCCUGGCGUUCCAGGGGCAUAUGUUAUGCCUGCCACUAACGCUAGAGAUCGUGGUGACGUGGUAACAGGUAUCAUCUCAGUUGAUUCUUAUGAUGCUCAUGCUCUUUUUGAUUCUGGAGCUAGUUUCUCUUUCAUCUCAGAGGCUUUUGUUGGUCGUUUGGGUCUUUUUGUUGAAAGGAUUGGGGAGGCUAUCGUUGUUAGUUCUGCUAGAGGGCUUGUUUCGAGUUCUAUAGUUUGUCCAGGCUGUGUUGUCACUCUUGCGAAUGAGGAUUUUAUUGCUAACUUAGUGGUGAUUCCGUUGGAGCCUUUUGAUGUGAUUCUUGGCAUGGACUGGCUCUCCCAGUAUAAGGCCGUUAUCUCUUGUUUCUGGAAAACAAUCACUUUGCAAGCACCAUCAGGACGAGAGAUGAUCUUUCAAGGGAGUGGUUUGAAGUACUCUAUCUCCUUGUUGUGUCAGUUAUUUCCUAAUCGAUGGACACAAAAAACUGGUAUUCUUUUUGUGAUGAUUGGUGAUCAGGAGGUUCCCUUGCGAGUGGAUGAUAUUCUAGUGGUUUGUCGCUAUCCAGAUGUUUUCCCAGAUGAGCUCCCAGGUUUGCCUCCUGAAAGAGAGGCUAUUUUCCACAUAAAGUUGGUUCCUGGAACGCAACCUAUAUAUAAGACACCAUACAAGAUGGCUCCUGUGGAGCAGGUGGAGUUAAAGAAGCAAUUGGAUGAACUUCUUGCUAAAGGGUUUAUCCGACCAAGCACGUCACCUUGGGCUGCCCCAGUCUUGUUCGUAGAAAAGAAGGAUGGCACUAAAAGACUUUGUGUUGAUUAUCGAGCACUUAAUCAAGUAACAAUCAAGAACAAGUACCCUUUGCCUCGUAUUGAUGCUCUCUUUGAUCAAUUGAGAGGUGCCAAGGUAUUCUCUAAGAUUGACUUGCAAUCUGGUUACCAUCAACUACGUAUCAAGGAAGAGGAUAUUGAGAAGACGGCUUUUAAUACCAGGUAUGGGCAUUAUGAGUAUGUGGUUAUGUCUUUUGGACUAACAAAUGCCCCUGCUGUUUUUAUGGAGGCCAUGAACAGGAUGUUGCAUGAGUACUUGGAUGUUUUUGUUGUGGUAUUCAUCGAUGAUAUCUUAGUUUACUCCAAGUCAGAGGAGGAGCAUAAGGUUCAUCUCAGUCUUGUCUUGGAUGCACUCCGGAAGAACAAGUUCUAUGCAAAGUUGAAGAAAUGUGCAUUUUGGCUUUCUGAAGUGAGCUUCCUUGGUCAUGUCAUUAAUCAACAUGGCAUUAAGGUGGAUACUAAAAACGUUGCCUCAGUGGUGGAAUGGCAAAGACCGACCAAUGUAACAGAAGUUCGGAGCUUUCUUGGGCUUGCAGGUUAUUAUCGGUGUUUCGUGCAGGGUUUCUCAAUUGUUGCUAAGCCAAUGACUAAUCUCACUAAGAAGGGUGUUCCAUUCAUAUGGACUAAAGAGUGUGAGGCCAGUUUCCAAACUCUAAAGAAUAAGUUAGUGAAUGCUCCUAUAUUGACAUUACCUGAGAGCGGCAAACGCUUCACUUUGUAUACAGAUGCUUCUCGAAUCGGGCUUGGUUGUGUGCUUAUGCAAGAAGGUAAAGUGAUUGCUUAUGCAUCAAGGCAAUUGAAGAAGCAUGAGCAAAAUUACCCCACACAUGAUUUAGAGUUGGCUGCAGUUAUUUUUGCUCUAAAGAUUUGGAGGCAUUAUCUUUAUGGAGAGUCAUGUGAUAUAUUUACAGAUCACCAAAGUCUCAAAUAUAUUUUCACACAAAAAGAACUCAACUUGAGGCAAUGGAGAUGGUUAGAAUUGAUUAAGGACUAUGAUCUCACUAUCCAGUACCAUCCAGGAAAGGCAAAUAUGGUGGCAGAUGCUCUUAGUAGGACAGGUGUUCCUAAGACAGUGAUGUCCUUGAUUGUUGAUAUGGAUCGCAUGGGGGUUUCGUUUUGUUAUGCGGGCGUUGCACAUCAAGAGACUCAAAUGCUUAUUCAGUCUCCCAUAGUUGAUCAGGUGCGUGAGGCUCAACAACAUGAUCGUUUGCUUCAAGAGGUUCGAAAGAGAAUUUUAGGGGGUAGACCACGGGAGUUCACCAUAGAUGAACAUGGUGCUAUUCGCUUUAGAGGGCGUCUUUGUGUGCCACAAAAUUCUGAUGUGAAGAUGGAUAUACUUAGGGAGGCACAUCGAACACCUUACACAAUUCACCCUGGUGAGACCAAGAUGUAUCGGGAUUUAAAGAAAAAUUUUUGGUGGAAAAGGAUGAAAGUUGAUGUUGCCAAAUAUGUAGCAUCUUGUGGAAUUUGUCAGCAAGUUAAGGCAGAACAUAAAAAGCCUGCGGGUUUAUUACGGCCUUUGGAGAUCCCUGAGUGGAAAUGGGAACAUAUCACCAUGGACUUUGUGGUCGGGUUACCUCGCUCACCUCGAGGGAGAGAUGCCAUAUGGGUUAUUGUGGAUAGACCCACUAAGUCUGCACAUUUCAUUCCGAUGAAGUCAACUAGUUCAGCACCAGAUUUGGUUCCCUUAUACAUGAGAGAAGUGCUAAGGCUUCAUGGUGUGCCAAAGUCCAUUGUUUCUGAUCGAGAUCCCAAGUUUGUGUCUAACUUUUGGCGAAGCUUGCAUAGUGCAUUGGGCACAAAUUUGACUCUUAGCACUGCUUUCCACCCUCAGACUGAUGGUCAGUCGGAGAGGACUAUUCAGACCUUAGAGGACAUGCUUCGUGCUUGUGUUCUUUCAUGGAAAGGUAGUUGGGAGGAUCAUCUAUCUUUGGCAGAGUUCGCUUAUAAUAACAGCUAUCAAGCUAGUAUCAAGAUGGCUCCAUUUGAGGCUUUGUAUGGUAGGAAGUGUAUUUCUCCCAUAUGCUGGGAAACUUUGGGUGAGAGAUCUUUGAUUGGUCCAGAUUGGGUCCGAGAGACAUCUGAAAAGGUGCGGGAGAUACGACAGAAUCUGUUGGCUGCUCAGAGCCGGCAGAAGAGUUAUACUGAUGUGAGGAGGCGAGAUCUAGAGUUUGCAGUGGGUGACCAUGUUCUUCUUAGGGUAUCGCCAACCAAAGGUGUUGUGAGGUUUGGCACCACAGGAAAGCUUAGCCCAAGGUACAUUGGUCCGUUUGUGAUCACAACCCGUGUUGGCAGUUUGGCAUAUCGCUUGCAGCUUCCAGAAUCAUUGAAGCAAGUGCACAAUGUUUUCCAUGUAUCUAUGUUAAGAAAAUAUUUGAGGGAUCCUGAGCACAAGAUUGAUUUGGAGCCACUUAUUGUGGAGCCAAAUCUAAUUGUGGAAUGUCACCCAGAACGUAUCUUAGACUCAUCUGACCGAGUCAUGAGAAAGAGGACCAUCAAAUAUGUUAAGGUUCUAUGGAGUAAUCAGUCUGAGCGUGAAGCGACUUGGGAGCUCGAGGACCAAAUGCGCAAGAAGUACCCACAACUCUUUGAGAGAGGUAAGUUUUAAUUUAUCAAGUUGGUAUACCUUUGAGUAGUUAAAUUCGGGGACGAAUUCAUUAAAGGAGGGGAGAAUGUAACACACUAAAAAAAAAAUCAAAGGCCCAGCCAGCCCAACCCUUUUCCCUGGCCCGUUGCCCCCUCUCCCAUCUUAUCCAGACCAGUCCUCUCUUCCUUCUCACGUUUCUUCCUCCUUCCCUGCUCUCCCAUGGCUUCCCCUCCCUAAAUCCCCUCUCUACAGCAGCAAACCCUUGGGGGGAACUAGCAAAACGGAUCGAGGACAACAAGAGGAGCAAGAAAGGUGCAUCUUCCAUGUAGAUCGGUCCUUUCCCCAUAUCUUCCCGCUGCCCUAGGGUUUGGGGAACGACUAAGGUUAGGUGAAUCCACUUUAGAUCUGCUAAUUGAUGUUUUUAGGAGGUUCUUGGUCCUGAGGAUUAGUGGAUUUGUUGGGGAAAACACGGUUUGAAGGUCGAUUUAAGGUGUGCUGUCCUGUAGCUCGGGCAGUGCUGCUGUCCUUGUAGAUUUGGUGACCUAAACGAUUUCUCCUCCAAAAGUGGAUCAUACAAAAGUUGUAGAGAAUUAUGAGAUGUAACUGCUGUCCAAGUUUCAUAUUUUUGGUGGAGUAUACCUUCAGUUAUUGAAUAUUGUUUGGACGCUGUUUCUGAAUGUCCAGAUUUUUGACAGCAGAUGUUCAGAGAUGUAUUAGAUGAUCUUAAGGAUGGAAUUCGUGGAAACCCAUAAUAACAAAGUUUUAGGUUUCUCAGAGAUAUAUGUCCUGACAAAAUUUUAGAAUUUUUGGACAAGGGGUUUGGGAGAUAUGAAUUUUUGUAUGCUGCUGCCCGAAAUUUCAGACAGAUUCUGUACUUCACAUUCAACUGCAGUUUUACCCCUCUUUGGAUUAUGCUAAAAAUAAAGGAUCUGAACAAAGUUGUAAGAUUUCUCCCUUAAUUUUCUAAGAUGUAUUUGCUUGCUGUCAUAUCUUUUGUAAUUUUAAAGAUACAAAAAAGUGAAGCAGCACUGCUGCGGUUAACCUAGGUGAUGUUUACCAUCGUCGCUUGUUUGACCGGUUGGGCUAUAUGGGUGCUUUACUUGCUGUGUGCACAUGGUUGUUUGAGGAUAUGUUCUGAUCUUAUUGUGUAAAAACAGGUGGUAACGCUCCGGAUCACGCUUAGAGCGGCUAUCUCCUUCAUUGGGAGGCAAGUAACGUAGCGGUGGUUUCUACAAGCUUUAAUUUGCUAUUUUUCCUACCUCCACCUUAAAUUUCAGAAUGAUAACUUAUCCAAUAUCAUCCAUUCAAUUACAAGUUUAUGCACAUCUUACUGUUGUUAUUACAUAUGCCUUAUUCUUUACUUUAUAACUUGGUAAUGGCUCUUGUUAGCAUAAUUAUGAUGAGGUUUAUGUUGUCAAAUGAGGAGAGACUUAUCUGGUAUAUGCGGUGUAUACUCUCUUUGUGCGAUCUGUCUUGGCAUUGCAUUUCAUUGCAUCACAAUGCAUGGCAUAUGGAGUUAAUUCGCCGCUUGAUAGCCGCGACCGUACCGGUACAGCAUCGUUUAUUGGGCAUAACGGUGCAGCUUCAUACUUUGUUGAGUAUGAAGGCAGGAGACAUGGCAUUUGCAUUGCAUUUGCAUUUAGGGUGCUAUCGGUUUUCUAUGGUAUUUAUUUGGCAGUGGUGGUGAGAAGUGAAUUUUCUCCAAGGUUUGGUGACGAAUUGGUUUUAUUUAUGUAUGAGGGUGUUGGAGUUAUUAUUAUUAUUAUUAUUCAUUGAGGAGAUACACUUACUGAUAAUAGUUAAACCAUGGUCUAAUGAACUUGUAGUUUAAAUAGCUUGUUAAAGCUAGUUACUUGCUGAGAUUUUAUAUCUCACCCCUAUUUUUUUGUUAUCCUCUCAGGUACUUGAUGGAUGGAUGCUUUGCUUGGGGGGUUGGGAAGUAGCAGCACGUCACACACUUCUCUUUAAUCAAAAUCCUCUAGUGUGAUACUGUAAUAUUUAAGUCCUUCUCUAUGAGAGUCUAUUUGUUGCUUAAUGAUGGUUAAGCUUUGUUAAACCUUGCCUUAAUCGUUUGAAUUUCAUGUUAGGAUCUUUUAUUUAUGCUAGUGUGCUUUAUCUAUUUUCAUAUCUUAUUGUUUCUUGCUUCCGCGGUGUUCCUGAUUUAGGGAAGAUGCUGUCAAAAUCUGUCCCUUUUGUCCGAUGUGGCUUAGUAGCAUCCUAAGGUGGCGUUUGUUUUUCUUGGGGUGUUACAGAUGGUGAGCAAGUCUUACCUCGGUAAGAACGUGAAGGUGAUCGCCGAAUACAUGCAGCAUAUAGACAACAAGCUGGUGGUCUUCAAUCCUGUGACCAUGGAAGGCUACCAGUACAUGGUCGCUGGUGAGAAACACUGCGUUAACAGGCCUGGACACACACCAUGGUACAAGAAGCCGGACGACUUGAAGGUUACCACCGUGGAGCAGAUCUGGCAGUGCGAGGGGAAUCUGCUCAUUGGUGAUCAGGGCAAGGUGCUCAAGGACUUGUGCCUCUCUAUGGCUCUCUCCAAGAUGCUCAACCGAAGGUUUGCUGGCUUCAAGCUCUCAGAGGCAGAGCUUGAGAAAACCCACGACUUCGUAUUCAAAGGCCUGCUCGCCGGGGACGAGCAGUGGGCCUUCAGGGUCAUUGAGGAAGAACUUGUUUUUGUCCAUGACAUGUAUUACACAAGGUACUCUUACCUCUACCAAAAGGGUCGAUACCUGGCUCUCUGUCUGCCUGUCAUCAUGUUUGCCCUAUGCUCGUGGCUCACAGUGGCCAGCCUGCACGUCAAGCAUCACGACGACCCCUAUCUCAGUAAUCAUAGCAAUCGCAGUCUGAUGUCUGGCACCAUAGUCAUAACGGUUGUCUUGGCAUUCCUGGAGGCAUACCAGCUGUACCUGUACAUGGCCUCAGGUUGGUUCAAGGUGGCACUGAUACGGAGCUAUGUCGCCGCACCUUUUUUGCAAACAAGCUGUUUCUAUGAGAUGAUCAUACAUCUUCUCUUGAUGUUGAAGGUGUUUCGCCCAUGGAAGGGCAGACUUGGGCAGUACUGUUUCCUCGAGAAUCUUGGCCGCAAAAGUAAGGUUGUGAAUUGUCUCCAUUAUGGUACACUGUGCUUGGUGGACAAGGCCAUGAAGGGAAGCAAGAAAUCAGUGAAGGUCUCCGAAGAUGUGAAGAAAGCCAUCAUUGAUUCCCUACUAGCAAGCAACGGACACCUGACGAACGGGGUAACAUCGCUGCAAAAAAAUGGCGUCCAUGAUGACCUCAAAUGGGCAUGUGAUGCUACUGCUACUGACGGAGCGGUGGCUCGCACCAUUGUGGUCUGGCACAUUGCUACAACCCUGUGCGAGCAGAAGCUGGAUAAACAAGUCAAAGAAGAAGACGCUGUCAAAACAGCCUCCACUUUAUCCAAGUACUGCAUGCACCUCCUUGCUUUCGCACCUAACCUCUUGCCCGACCACAGCUCCAUAUCGGAAUCCAUACUUGAUCAGUCAAUCCACGAAGCAAGCAAGUUACUCAAAGAGGCCAAGGACAAGAAGAUCAAGGGCAAGAACAAGAAGAUCGAGGGCAGGUGUGAGAUAUUAAUGCAAAUUAGCACUGAUGAUGAUUGUGUUGAUGAUGAAACAAUUCUUGUUGCGCGGGGCGUUCACCUUGCAAGGCAACUGAUUGAUAACAUACAAGACUUCACAACACGGUGGAAGGUGCUAUCUGAUUUCUGGGCGGAGAUGAUGCUGUAUGUCUCGCCAUCCGACGAUGCUCGGGAGCACCUGGAAGUUCUUGCAAUAGGAGGGGAGUUCAUCACGCACCUUUGGGCGCUGCUCAUGCAUGCCGGUGUGCUGAAGCGAGGACCUACAGUGCCAAAGGAUGUUGUGUGACCUCUUUAACAAGUACACACGUAGCAGUCAUUAUAUCUAUCUAGUGCUUGUAACAUUCUAUGUAUGUUGGCACACCAUGUGUGAGUUAGUCUGUCGAGUCUGUAUCUCUUUUCAUGUCGAGUUAGUUUGUCGAGUCUGUAUCUCUUUUCAUGUCGUGUCUGUUAUCAGAUUUUGGGCAGAGUCAGAUCUGGUAAUUUCCGCAAGUUUCCUUAAGAAGAGCGUGCGUUCAGGUUGUUGGACGUGCGCGCGUCUAAGGUGGCCAUUACAGUCGCAAUCUGUUCCAUCGACCACUUGGGCACUCUCUCUCAGUUGCGUCUGUUCGUCUGUCAAUUGAGCAGAUCCUGUUGCAGCAGAGAUUGACCCUGCUACUACAGAAGGGGCGGGGAUCCCCUCCUGAGGAUUCCAGCUCUUUAGGGAGGGGUUCAACCUUGAGGAAGAUGCCAUAGUAGGAAUUCUUGCAUUCAUGUUCGUAACAAUACUGAGUGUUAUGGAAAAAUAUGGUCUUCUUCCUCUUCCCUCUUUGGGGAAGGGAAGCCUUUAUUCUUCGCGGAGUGUAUUGGGGAUAUAGGACUGAAAGCAGUGAUCAAGGACACGACUUGCCUUCUUGACCUUGCUCCUGCUGUUCGUACUCCUCGAAGGCUUGAUCUUCAAAUCCCUCGAACUGCUGAACGUCUACACGCAUCACACAAGCACAUACAAGCAAACAAGGGCAUAAAGUAAGAAAACAAUACACCAAUCACAAUUAAACAGAGAAAACAAGCUUGUAAAAUUGAUCUACGCUUUAAAAAUGAACAUGUAGAUAUAAAGAAUGCGAAAAAAGGAGUUAAGAUGCAAAAGAUAUAAGUAAAAUAAGAUCCAGGGGUUUUUCUGCGAGAAUUCAAAACUUUUAGGGUCAAACUGCGAAAAAUUGAGGACUUAUACAUAAUUACGUGUAUAAAAUGAAGGUUUAACGUGCAAAAACGCAACUUAGGAUGGCAGGUUGAUUUUAGAGAAACUCAGGGUUGAAACCGAAAUAAAAUAGGACCAAAACACAAAUGCUUUUGAACUGGAUUGGACUGCGGGUUGAUUUGCGGAAAAGGUGAGGGCUUAAGUGCAAAAGAGGUGCGACGCGGCGCGGUUGACUAGUACGCGAUCCAGUUGACCCGCUGUGGGCCGUCGGAUUUGGAUCCGACGGUCACGGUCGUCGGCGACACUGAAGCGGUGGCAGAAAAAGGUGGCGGACGGCGACGAGCGGCGGCGCUUCGCUGGAGUUGGCCGAAACAGCGCUCCGGGGCUCGGUUUCGCGCGCGGAUUGCACGAGAUGGAUGCGGGGAACACGACGAACUCAUUUAGGGCUUUGGUGGGGGUUGCGGUGCGACGGAGCUCACUUUUUGGCGGCGGCUUGUGGCGGCGCUGCUAGGGUUUGGAGGGGCGAUGGCUGGGUGCUUGAGGCCGGGGGGGGGUGCGGCGGCUUAAAUAGGGGCGUAUGGUGGCGAGAUACGGAUAGGAGAUGGACUCCGCGCGGAGGAAGCGCGCGGCGGUUGCAGGAGGUGGGCGGAGUCCGGGCGCGGUCGGGGAGAAGUCCCGGCCGGAUACGCCUGCCCCACCCGUCAGACCGGCGGAAGGGAGCGGGUCGGCGCUGCUUCGCGGGCCGCGGAGGAAAGGAGAUGGGCCGGCGAGGGAGAAACGUGGCAUGGGCCGGAGGAGCUGAGGGGAGGCGGGGCCGAAAAGGGAGGGAGGUCGGUAUGCUGGCCAGGCCGGCAGAACAGGCCGAGCAAGCGAGACGGGCCGACAAGUGAAGGUGGAGCUGGUGGCGCUGGGCCGCAAGGAGUUGGAGCCGUGCUGAAAGAAAAAGGAGGAGGAGAAAGAAUGCAGCCCAAGAGGGGAAAGUAAAAGAAAAGAAGAAAAGGAAAAGUUUUGGAAAUUGAAUUUGAGAUUUUGAAUUGGAAUUUGGAUCAAAUACAAUCAACCAAAAAUUAUGCACCAGCAUGAAUGUACAACAAACUCCUAUGGUGAAUUAAUUUAAUUUAGAGAAAAUAAAAAAUAAUAUGCCUAAGAAUUUAAAUGACAUCUUAAUUAAGCAAAUUUUAAUGAAUUUAAAUUCUUUAAAAAUUUGGUGUUACAAAUGCCAGGCUUUCGGGUCCGUGCACCCAAGUCCUAACAUGACGGAGAUUCUGGGUACCAUCCUAAGCCAAGUAGCAGAUGGUGCAAUGUCUGCUGGCAGUGGCACCGAACCUGCAGCAGAACAAAAUAUCAUCAACGACAUAUCAAUUUCCCUCUCUGACAAGAGGUACGCAACAUUGCAUCCUGUCCAUUCCCAUUCCCAUUCCGCUUGUCGAACAACCCGUUUGUGUUAUGGUACUAUCCUAAAAAUAGAACAUAUUAUGUUUGGAACGUUAGUCCAACAACCCGUGCAUCCACACAUAUUUUUAGAAAAAGCAUAGAUAAUUGAGCUUUGUGAAAGGCAUAUAAUUUAGUAAUAUUUAGAGGUGAUUAUGUUUUCUAAGUUUUUUACCAUGUUUCUUCUUCCUCCUAUGAUUAUGUGAAAGGUUUUAUGGAGUACUCAACAAAGUUUGCUAGUCCAUUAACCACGCUUUUGCACGGGAUAUAAAUUUUAAAAGAUUCAUAAGUAUUAAAAGCUCAUGGAUAGUUAAUCCGAAGUCUACGAGUAAUUGAGAAAUUGCUUAUCUUUGCUUUGUCUCCUAUUUAUUUAAUUUUUUUAAAACAAUAUAUACCCAUAUAGGUAUUUUUUUUUAAUCUUGUAUGUUGGUGAUUGGUGUUGAUUAAAAAUUACUUUAUAUGCCUUUUAAUUCACAUUCAUAGUCUUUUCAACUUUAGAUGAAACAUUAGUGAAGGACUGAGAUGGGCGACUGGGGGUGAAUAGGAGCCUCCAAUAAUUCUUUUAAAUAAUAAGGUCUAUAUCCCAAUUGCCACCCAAAACGCAUCUCGCUUCUAAUCAUCAAGAUGACACUAGUCAACUCGUGACAAUCUCAUCUUAGGAACGAUUAGAAACACUCGAAAGCGUAGCGGAAGCAAAGAAAAGCAAAACUUUGAAAAGUUUGCACGAGAUAUUGAUCUCAAACACUACCAAAUCAUUACUUGACUAAGCAUGCUUGAAAUAAUUAAUUAAGAAUUAAGCAUGAUUAACAAAGUGACAAAACUACUGAACAAGUAGCUAAUAAACAAGGUAGCACAGAUUAACUAGUAAUAAUUAACUAGCUCAAGUGAUAAAUUAAUAAUUGCAUGAAUUAAAGAACCGAGCAACCAAAGAAAAGCAACUGGGCUGCAGCUUGCUCACCUUGCUGGGCCGCUUGCACACUGCCACGGAAGAGCUCCUAGCUGCUGUACUGAUGGGCGACCCUGGUGCUGCACGGACCGGUGUGCUGGGCCGCCUGGCUCCGGCCUGCUACGUUGACAGGUCUGGAUCGCUCGAGCCUAGCCACGGCCUGCUGGACUGCUCGGCCGCGCGGCUCCCUCCGGCCUGGCUGGGCUGCCUGGCCACCCGCGCUGGGCCGCCUGCCUGGUCAGCUGCUGCGCAGGCCAGGAAUUUUUUUAUUUUUAUAUUAUAAUAAAUUGUCGAAUAAAAAAUUUGUAAAAAUAGACGUUCACUGCCGGACCAAAUGGUGGUAAGAUCGCUUUUGCCGUAUGAAACGGAGGAAGGGUACCGGCCGCCACGUGCUGCCCUCCCUCGCCGGCUGAAAUGGUGGUAAGGACUCUUCCGCCAUUUCAACCAGCGAGGCAGCCCGGGUUGGCGACCUAUAGUGAAACGGCUAUAACGACCCCUUCAGUUAUUUUCCCUUCAUUUUUUUGACUUUUAUCAAUUAUUUUUCCUUUAUUGUUUUAUUAUUUCAAUUAUAUAGUUGUAUCGCAAUACUUAACUUCGUAAUUUGAGGUUAUACCUCUAUCUUGAAUAUUGUUCCUUUAAAUUUUUAUAUGACAUUUUUUUAGAGAGGUAGAGUGAUUGCACGAAAUCAUUGAAAAUCAUGAAACUCCAGCCUACGUAAAGUAGUCUGUGGAUACAAUUGUACAAUCAUGCGCGUUACAAUUGUACACAUGAUAGCUUGUACCGGCGUACAAAAGAUAAAAGAGGUCCUACAUACUAAAUGUGUUCUCGCUUGAAACGAAGCUGCCACCUCCCCCUCCCCGACCACGACCACGCCUCGCUGCCCGCUGCGCUGCUCUGGUCUGCUGCUGGUCGUACGUCAAGAGCUCUCGUGGGGCAACGUCGCAAGGCGGACGUCCUACUGCGGCUGCAUAUGGUGUCCCGAGCUCCUGGGUCACGUCCUGUGUAGGAGCCUUCGGGGCCUCACGCAACUACGAGGCACCGAUCACGUUAGGCUUAGGUCCGAAAAAAUUGUCCACCCAUGCAUGGAAGCCUGACAAGAUUGUCCACCCAUGCAUGGAUGUUGGACCUCUGUCCCUCCUCCUCGACGGAGUCCUCCGGAGCCUCUCCGCGGUCUGCGAACCCUGUUAUGCAACUAAGGAAAUGAUAUUGUUGGUUUCGUUGCAUAUUUAAAAUGGAAUAGAAAACAUGUAUUCGUUGUGCACCGAAGCGGUGUAGCUCUAUGCCUGGUGGUGCUAAAGAAGGUCCCGCUCCACUGUAAGCUCCGUACAUCUGCGGGCUGUGUUAAUAAAUUAUUAUUUAGUAAGGUGAAUUGGAAAAUAUUUCGUAAAUGGUGUACGACAAAAUAACGUACCGAAAGUGCAUUUCAAGUUUACCCCAAGAUGUGAUAAGAUGGUAUGGAUGUAAAAGUUUCUAUGCACCUUUUUUUAUUGGUACCUGAUAAUAAUCGAUGACAUUUGGCAUUGGGAAGAAUGGGAAGUCAUCCGAAAAGCUCUUUCCAAGAAUAAUAUGGGCUCUAAAAUAAUCAUGACGACUCGUGUCAAGGCUUUAGCUGACAAAUGUCGAACUGAACAAGGUGCACAUGUGUAUACACAGAGUUUUCAUCACGAGGACGCUAAAAGACUAUCAGACAUGAUACUGAACAAGUCUGUCGGAAGAGACAUACUUGAAGCCAAUGCGGAGUGGCUACCCAGAAAGAUUGUGCAUACGAGUGGUUUGAUGCCACUAGCAAUAAUCUGUUUGUCGUCAGCAUGGGCAGAGAGCCAUGCAUGGGCAAGACGACGACUAUGGGGAAUAUUGGUAUAUUUGGGUAAGUGAAAUGCUGAUGGAUAGGUUUCUGAGUCCUCCAUCCUUGAAACCACUAGUCCAGAGUUUAUGCCUUGUUUUCGACGAUCUUCCCGUUGAGCUGAGGACUUGCUUGCUGUACUGCAGCAUAUACCCUCUGGGUUAUUUUAUUCAAAGGGAUUGCUUGGUCAGAAAAUGGAUAGGCGAAAGAUUUGUUUCGCAACAAGAAGUAUCAGAAGCUUACUUUGACAAGCUUGUUUCUAGGAAUCUAUUGCAGCCGGUACCCAAAUACCAGAGCUUUUACAUAGUCCACCCCAUAAUGCUAGCCUUCCUUGUAUGCAGAGCAAAAGAAGAUAAUUUUGUUGCUUGUCGGCAGCACAAUAAUGGCCGCGGUAGCUCCUCGCACGCCAAACAGAUCCGUCGCCUUUCUCUCGACACGGAUUGCAUUCCAGAUGAGGAUGUAGUAUCUCAUAUUCGCUCCCUUGCUGUUCUUAGUGACCAACCCCACAUUGGUGUCCCCUUGAAGAAGUUUAAAAACCUGCGAGUGCUAGAAAUUGACAGCUGUAAACGUCUAGAGAACUUUUCUCUGGUGGAUAUAUACGGGCUGAUCUGGCUGCGGUAUCUGGGUCUCAACGGCUGCCUUGAAAUCACAGAGAUCCCACGGGAGAUUUGGAGACUGCAGAAUCUGGAGACGCUAGAGGUGAGGAACACAGGUAUUUGUAAACUACCCAUGGAAAUUGGGACACUGGUGCAUUUAAGGACUCUGAAUGUAAGUGUCACAAUGGUCACAGAGGUUCCAAGGAAAAUCACCGGACUUUCUCGUUUGGAGAAUCUGGAUGUAAGCUCGACAGGGGUGAAAGAGUUGCCUAAGGAAGUAGGAAAACUACAGGAGUUGAGGACUCUGGACAUUAGAGUGACUAAAGUCAGAGAGCUACCCCGCAGGGAAAUUCCAAAUUCUUUUUGAAGUGUGGUCGGCCACUUUGAUUCGAGUUCUGGUCGAGUGGUGAAGUUGCCUCUGGGUGUCUUCAGAUCAAGUGGUGAUGAACAGGUUAUUUCCUCUUCUGGAGCAAAUUGCAGGGAGAGCCUAUCCAUCCUCGUGCUCUUUAAUCAUCUCUACAAGAGGUGUGAAGUUCUUCCAGUUCCGAUGCAUAGAGUUGCCGGGAGACACAUGAAAGUCCCGCAGUGGGUCAAGCAAGACUUGUGCAAUGUCUGCUCCUUAGAUAUCAGUCUCUGCAAACUGGUGGAGGAAGACCUCGAGUUUCUGAAGACGCAGAUGCCCAACCUGCAGGCUCUCCAACUAAGGUUCGAGGUCCUCCCACGGGAGCCGGUUGCCAUCACUGGUGGAGGGUUCUUGAAGCUAGAGACGUUCUACGUCUGUUGCCGUCUGCCACGGGUGAUCACCUUCUGGGAAGGAGCGAUGCCGAAGCUGAAACAUCUUGAGUUCAAGUUCUGCACCGGCACGGCAAGGCAACACUACUCCAUGGGAAUCAGGCAUCUCGACAGCCUUGAGAAGGUCAUGUUCCGAUGCUCCGAGUACUACACAAGUCACGGUCCGGGCAUCCGCGAGACAAUUGAUGUACUGAGAAAAGAAGCUGCGGAGCAUCCCAACAAGAUCACCCUUUGGGUCAAUAACAUGAAACCUGAGGUUUUCCUCAAGACAAUUGAUGUACCCUUUAAAGAAUGGAAACGUGAACAACGUCUUCGACUAUCGACGGCAGCAGAGGUGCGCGAGCUCAGCGGGACAAAAACAACGCAAGGGCUGGAACUGAAAAGAAAAUUCAAGAAAGGAAAAGCAAUCUUGAAAUCAGGGAACGACGAUUGAGGGAAGCAGAGCGCUACCAUAACAUAUAAUAAUUGCUGCAAUAAUGGAUUUACGUUUUAUGCACUUGUUCGCUGGGCCUAAACAAAAACAUAUUAUAUCUUGUUUUUUCAAAAUCGGACCUUCCUUCUCCAUGACUCUAUGUGACAUUAUCUGUACGCACACUUUUUUUUUGAUGAAAUAGGAGGGGAUGAUCAUCCCCUGCUGGAUAUAUAUAUUAAAGAGAGCAAAAAAUGUACAGGUACAGAUCAGGAAACAAAAAAGAAGAGAAAGAAAAUCAGAAAAAUUACAAUGAGUGCUCUAGCCAUUCAAACAUUGGUUGUUUCCAAGCCUCUUUUACUCGUAGAACAACUUGAGUAAAAACAAUCCGAAACCUCCUCAUUGCAUCUUGGAUGGAGGGAGUAAUAUUCCUGAAAAUCCAAUCAUUUCUUGCCAUCCAAAUACACCAACUCAUGAGCACAAUAAUUUCCAUAAAAAACGGGACUUGUAACUGAGCUUUGAAGCUUGUAAGAAUUGUGUAAGGCUCCUCAUCCAGGUUAGCAAAAAGACUGAUAUUGAUCCAGCACUCUUGGGCAAAGGGACAUUGCAGUAAUAGAUGGAACAAGGUUUCCUCACUAUCCUGUGAACACAAGAUACAAGAAUAGGAGGGUAGAAUCAUGUGUUUUCUUCGAAGCACAUUUCGGGUACUUAGCCGGUCAUUAAGAAGGAGCCAGAAGAAAAACUUAUGUUUACUUUGACAUCGAGACUUCCAAAGCCAUCCAAAAAUCGGAUGCACAUGGCGAUGGCCAGACAGUACAUGAUAUGCUUUUGAUGAGGAAAAGUGAGAAUUGCCCCAAAUAUAUGCCAACAGUCAUGAUCUUCAUUAAAUUGGAUUCCAUUCAGAUCUGUUCCUAAUUGAAGAAGCUGAUCCAUAGCUUGAGAUGAUAGAGGCAAAUUAAAAAGUUGGUGCAAGUUAGGCAGGUGAUAAGCUUUCCUAACAGAUAUAUCAACCUUUGUAGUGAAUGAGUAUAAGUGUGGAUACUCUUGUGCUGGGAUCUUAUUAUUCCACAAAUCAUGCCAGAGGAGACAGGUCUGACCACUAUGCACAGUUACAGAUGCUAGACCUUUGAAUUUGUCCAAGAGUUUCACAACAUUCUUCCACCAAAAUGAUCCUUUUCGGACUUGUCCUGGUAACCUGCCAGAAGCAUAAUAUUUCUCCCAAAUUAGGUGUACCCAUGGUAUAUCUGAUUUAUUCAGGAACUUGUGAAGGUACUUACGAAGAAGAGCUUCAUUCUGAGUCCUAAGAUUUAACACCCCAAGGCCACCCUCUUUCUUUGGGAGACAAACAAGAUCCCAGGCAGCCUUUGGAGGUUGCCUAUUAUUUACAUCAGACUUUCUCCAGAGGCAACAUUUUCUAUAUUUGUCCACUUGUUGAUAUACUGUCUUGGGUAGCUGGAAAGUGCACAUAUGAAACAUUGGCAUGGCUGUAAAAAUUGAGUUUAUCAGCUGAAGCCUCCCUGCGUCUGACAGAAAUUUUGAUGUGGAUACCAAUCGCCGUUCACAUCUUGUGACCGUAGGCAGGAAUUCCUCAAUUUUUGGCUUGGUAAGGCCAAGUGGAAGCUUGAUUGUCAUUAUUUUUCCAGUUUAGUUUCUCUUCGUCAUAUGCAGUGCUAGCUUGCAGCAUGCAUGCGCACACUAAACAUUCCGUAUGUCUUGUUCCAAUCAUUCAGAUAAAAGUCGUCGCCAUAUGAGUAUGAUUCACGCUAGUGAUCCAGUUCUGUUAAUUAUUUGCUUCCGUAUUAAAUAGAGUUUUAAAAUAUUUAAAGUUCAUUAAGUAAUAAACUAAGGAAAAAAACCGAACUGAAUUUAUUUAAUAACACUUGGAAGUUGUUCUAAGAGGGAUAGAGGGAUAAUAAAUAACUUAAUUUGAAAUUAUGUAUUUCAAAAUAUGUAGCACUUGAUCUUGUAAAUAUUAAAUUAUACCUUAUAUAGUGUGCUUGUCGAGUUUCGUAACAUUUAAAGUUCGAACGCUAUUUUUAUUGAGAUGUUCCAAGUAGGUAUAUUUAACUAAACCCUAAGCGGGAUAUAGGAAUAAUAAAUAGCCUACUUUAAAAUUUAAAAUUUCAAAAUAUAUGGCACUUGGGAACAUCCACACCAUAGUGUCACGCAAUGAAAAUAUUUGUUUGGAGGGGUUGUUUUUAAAAUAUUAUUAAAAAGGUUAAAUUAAAAAAAUUGCUUAUGUUUGGUUCUGCUCUAGGCAUGGCCGCAAUGUGCGAAUCCUCUCUCUGUUGGAGGGAUUGGAUGGAUGCUGCCGAUGAGACAAGGAAUUGAAACGGGCCAAAAUAAAUUCUCCUAUAAAGCGGGCCUGGGCCUAGUCAUCUCCGCCUGAGUGAGCAGGGCCGCCCGCCAGUCCAAGAAUGAAACUCUCUCUGCACCGGGGUCGCAGAAGAAGAUGACGCGUGCGGCCGCGUCAAUGCUUUUCUGUUUUGCAUAUUUACCUCCUCAUCAAAAUACUGUGUACUGAUCCAUAUAAGCACGUAAAAGACUAAUCUAAUAAAAAAAAGACAGCACAAUUAUUCAACUUGUCGCGAUCAGAUAAUUAUGCACAGCGCAAUUAUUAAUCGGAAUGGGUCUAUCGAUUAUUCGAUUUGCAAGAUGGCGCUGCUCGAGGAAAGCAUGACCGGAUUAUACCUAGCAUCCUGCACUGCACUCAUCAGGAGUGGAACGGAAAAUGGUGGCGCAGAUGCUGAUGCAGAGCACUCUGCCUUGACAUGGAAUGGGAGACAGCUGAGCCCCCGUCUCGGAUUAGUUCCCUUCUCGGAUUUUUAUCUCGUGCGCUGGAGCCUGAGACCAGAUCGAAUUCGUUUCGGCUUCAAGCGGGCCUGGCCCUGGUCUUCUGUCUAAGGCCCGAUUAUAUAUAGAAAGAUAAAAAACGCAAUGAUCUUGGAUUCUUCGUUAAAGCUAACCCUCAGGAGAUCGUCAUCAGGUACCAAAAAAGGUCAAGUUAAAGAUUGAAGGUAAUUCUUCCUGCCUCCUCAUCAGAUGAAAUUUAGGUGCACAGCUUGACGGUCCCCAUGUUCUCACUUGGCCUUGUGCUGCCGUCACUUUUGUUCAGUGUUUUCCAUCUUCAGCUCAUCUGUACACAACUACAGGCAUUAGUUUGACACUUUUUGCUAUCCUUGCACAACUGGCGGCAUAAUGAACGCUCCAGUGUUCUUGUGCAGUCACACAGCUAGUGCUUCAUUCAUGUAUUUAUAAUCCCAACAAACACUGGAACGAUGUAGCUAGCAGCUCCAGCCAUACAUGAUAGAACGCGAAACACUAAUCAAUAAACAACCAAAAGAAAACCUCAGCCUAUUUUGGUCGAACACAACAUCUAACCACAAAUUAUUGUCGCCUUCCGAUCCCCGGUCCGUCGCCACCUCCCCGGCCGAAUGAAGAGGCACUCGAUGCUAAGACUGUUGAUGAAGAGGCACUCGAUGCUCCCACUGCUACAAAAGCUGAGGUUAAAACAGAACCUGAGAAUCGGGAGGAUGAGAAAACUAGCAAGCAUCUAGGGAGGAGCAGUGCUAGUUCGAACCAAGGAAGCACGAACGGUUCUGCCUCAGCAGCACCAGGCCUUCACGAACAGGAAGCCAACUCUGCAUUGAAAAUCAUGCACGAGUUAUCUGAUCAUCAGUUGGAGCAAAUAGAGAAGCACCUGGAUUCCAGCACCCAUGUUGCUGCCGUGAACUGUCCACAGCCAACUCACGGCGGCGGCGGCGGCUAUAUGACUGGACCACCAAUGGUGGGCCCCGUGCACCCUGAGUAUGAGCUGAUGCCUGCAGUUGCGUCCCCUGUUGCUGUCUGGAGCGAUGGGGGGAGCGCCAUGGUGCCUGCAUUAGGGCAUCCGGCUGAGACUUGGGGACCGGCGUACGUGGAGCACGUGUACUAUGCCUGAUCGCCUGAUUUGCAGUUGCAACGCUUGUCGCAUUGUCUGAAAAUUAGCAUCUCUUGUUGUGUUUUGCACUUUUGCUUGACUCACAACUCUGCCCUGUCUAUAUCACUUUGUCUAUCAGCGAAUGUGCGGCGCGUGAAUGUUUCGGAGCAUCUAUUGCGUAUGAUAUCUUUAACGAUUUGGAGUUGGAGCAUCCGUUUGCUCUGUUUUUUUCUUCCAACUUCAAUUCAGUCUUGUAACGACGCUGCAGCGUGCAUGCUCGCUUCUAGGAUGGAUUCUGUGUCACCUUUGCGGCCUUAUCAUGUAUGGCACCUGAAGGAAAUUCGUGUGCUAUUUUGUUAGCUGAAUUAUCGUGAAGAAGCAGAACGAACCUGUGGUAAAAGCCGGGGCAUUCCUUUGGCCGGAAUCUGAAACGGGAACCGGGGCAUGGCCAGAGGCUUCGGUGCAGAGCCCAGCUUCGACGCAGCGAAUACCAACCCCCCCAGCUCGACUCCGGCGUCCGCUCGUGGCCGCCGGCGUGACCAGUGACGAUGUGGGCCAGCACAUAUAAGCACGGGGCGUUGCGAGGCGGCAUGGGAAUGGUUACAGAGUGGAUCGAUUGAGCACCACAGCUCCCACCCCCACAUGUAAGAAUUAUUGCAUCCCCUGUCCUUGGGCUGCUGCAGCCUUUUCCCGGCCCUCUUUUGCUAUCAAACAAAUGUAGUAACUAUGGAUACAUCAUCUAAUUUUCUGCUAAUUAAGGAUACAUCAUCUAAUUUUCUGGACAUGGUCAGGAGGGUAGUCAUCUACACUCUCCAGCUGAGUUUUUGUCAGUUAUUGUCAUAAAAAUAUGAAAAAAGUUGGGAAGUUGAACCUUUUUCCAACAUCUCACCGCAAGCGCAUGCGACAACUGCUGAAGUCCAGGUAUGUAGUAGUCAUUCUACAAGUGCUGAAUGUGCCCUGAGAUCUUUAUAAAGAUGAACCAGUACUUUGCACUUUGUUUAGAAACUUGCACAAAGUCUAAUUGGAUAUUUGGGGUAGGCAAGUGUGCAUUAAUGAUAAAUUUGGAUUCGAUUAAUGGAAGGUAAAUAUUACCUUAUCUCCCAAAACAAUGAGCAUGCCUGUUAUCAUGGGCAUUAUUCACUUGGAGGAAUGCGCACCACCAUCGUUGACUCCAAGCUGUUGUUCAACCCGCAGCUCAAGAUCCAGCGCCUCAAGGACGCCAUCUUCACAUAGAACGAGCGGCUCGCGCGCGCCAAGAAGCGCAGCGCCUUCGCCUCCCUCAUCGCCGCAAAGUUCAUCCCCAAGCCGCUCCACUGCCUCGCCGUCUACCUCACCGCCGAGCGGAUCGCCAGGCCCGAGCAGUACGCGGAACCGGUGCUGCCGCCAUGGGCGCUCUAUGUCACGGCGGGGGAGUGCCCGUCCACCGGUUCUUGGGCGCGGAAAACGGCGACGACGGCGGAUCCGACGGCGGACUGGAGGGGGAGGGCGCGGACGGUGCUGUUUGGCCUCAGACGCUGGCAAGGAGGGCGGAUCUAUCCCUCCAAAAAAUUUCAUUUCCAAACUCAACUUAUAAAAAAUCUUAUCUUACUAUUACUAAUUGGAGACUCCUUUUAAAGCCUCCAGAUGAAGCCACAUAGGAUUCCUAGGUGGACACUCUAGAAAAAGAGAGAAAUUCUAGAAAUUCUCACAAAAAAGCAAAACAUCCGACCAUCAAUCGACAGAUUCAAAUCAUCAUAACCAUUGGACCUAUUAUGUUUUCUAAAAAAUUACCCACCUAUGCCAUUAUGAAAAUAGCCUAAAGUAACCCCCUAAAUCUAUAUAUAAAUUACCCACCUCUGCCAUUAUAUAAAAUAAACUAAAGUAACCCCUAAUCUUCAUCAAAAUUACCCACUUAUACCAUUAUAAACAAUAUUUAAAAUAACUCUCUAAUUUGCAACUGAAUCGCCUACCACUAUUACUUUAAAAAACUUAAAGUAACCCCUUAAAUUUGCAUCUAUAUUACCCGCACAUGCUAUUAUUAAAAAUAACAUGAGGUAACCCUACGUUUGAAUCAAAUAACCUUAAUUAAAAAUAUACAACAAUAUAUGAUUCUAAAUCGUCUAUAUCCUACACUAUUGGUAUACAAUAUAAUAAUUAAGGUCUAUACGCAUAAUGUGUGAUGUGUGUCACUAUUUAUAAGGAUAUAAAGUUAUGGGAAUAUACAUUUGUACGCUAAAAUUAUAUUUAGCAUUAUGGAUAGUUCUAUUAAAUUUAUGAGCACUCCAACUUAGGGUUCAUUAAACAAAUUCAAGCCCAUACAUGCGGUCCAAAGUGGAAAGCUAAAGAUUAUAAAUGUGGAUGAAAAUAUUAUAGAGUAAUUACUAACUGAAAUCUAUCACAAUUGGAUGAAGAUAUUAAGUAUAAUAUCUAUAUAAGUAUUGUGUUCGAAUAUUUAACAAACGAGAGGUAACUUAUGGUAAUAGUUUUGUAGCAAUGUAAUCUCAUUUUUUUUCCAUUGGAGACUCCGCAUUAGUUCCCAUGAGACAAGCAAGAAAAAAGAGAGAUUCUCAUAAAAAUUAAAAACAUCAAACACUAAUCAUGUAAACUCUAAUAAUCAUAGCCAUUGAUUUAUUAUAUUUUCUAAAAAGUUAUCCACCACUGUCAUUGUGGAAAUAUUCAAAAAUGAGCUCUAAACCUAUAUCUAAAUUACCGAACUCAGCUAUUAUAAAACAUAAUCUAAAGGAAACCCGUAAUCUUCAUCCAAUUUACUAAUGCUUAUCAUUAUAAAGCAUAACUUAAAAUGUCAUUCUAAAAUUUUAUCUAUGUUACCCACGUAUGUCGUUAUUAAAAGUAACCUAAAGUAAAUACCUAAAUCUUAAUCUAAUUAUCUUCAUGUGCAUCAUAUAGAAAUGUCAAAAAGUAAACUAAUAUAUGAUUCUAAAUUACUUAUUUAUGUCAUUGUUAAUAUAAAAAUACUACAUUAAAGUAUAUAUACAUGAUGAGUGCCACCAUUAGACCAUGUGUACAUGUAUGUGCGGAAUCGAUGAAAAAUAUUGAUUUGUAUGCUAAACAUAAUGUAUAGAGGAUUGGAGGUGCGAUACAAAAUGGAAAAAGUAUGAAUAUGAAUGAAAAAGUGCAUAGAAUAAUUAUCAAUUAAAAAUCAAUCACAACUGGACAAAGAUAGAUACAUAUCUAUAUAAGUAUUAUGUUGAAGUAUUGGAAAAAUAAUAGUAGUAGGUAAACAAUUUUGAUUAUUAGCUAAGAGUUUAAUUUCUAAAUAAUUUUCAAAUCCAAUAGCUUAUAAACACAUUAGCCCGUGCAGGAGCACGGGUUGAUGGACUAGUAUUACUAAUUGGAGGCUCCUUUUGAAGCCUCCAGAUGAAGCCACCUAGGAUUCCUAGGUGGACACUCUAGAAAAAGAGAGAAAUUCUAGAAAUUCUCACAAAAAAGCAAAACAUCCGACCAUCAAUCGACAAAUUCAAAUCAUCAUAACCAUUGGAUCUAUUAUAUUUUCUAAAAAAUUACCCACCUAUACCAUUAUGAAAAUAGCCUAAAGGAACCCCCUAAAUCUAUAUAUAAAUUACCCACCUCUGCCAUUAUAUAAAAUAAACUAAAGUAACGCUCUAAUCUUCAUCAAAAUUACCCACUUAUGCCAUUAUAAACAAUAUUUAAAAUAGCUCUCUAAUUUGCAACUGAAUUGCCUACCACUAUUAUUUUAAAAAACUUAAAGUAACCCCUUAAAUUUGCAUCUAUAUUACCCACACAUGCUAUUAUUAAAAAUAACAUGAGGUAACCCUACGUUUGAAUCAAAUAACCUUAAUUAAAAAUAUACAAUAAUAUAUGAUUCUAAAUCGUCUAUAUCUUACACUAUUGGUAUACGAUAUAAUAAUUAAGGUCUAUACGCAUGAUGUGUGAUGUGUGUCACCAUUUAUAAGGAUAUAAAGUUAUGGGAAUAUACAUUUGUACGCUAAAAUUAUAUUUAGCAUUAUGGAUAGUUCUAUUAAAUUUAUGAGCACUCAAACUUAGGGUUCAUUAAAUAAAUUCAAGCCCAUACAUGCGGUCCAAAGUGGAAAGUUAAAGAUUAUAAAUGUGGAUGAAAAUAUUAUAGAGUAAUUACUAACUGAAAUCUAUCACAAUUGGAUGAAGAUAUUAAGUAUAAUAUCUACAUAAGUAUUAUUUUCGAAUAUUUAACAAACGAGAGGUAGCUUAUGGUAAUAGUUUUAUAGUAAUGUAAUCUCAUUUUUCUCUAUUGGAGACUCCGCAUUAGUUCCCAUGAGACAAGCAAGAAAAAAGAGAGAUUCUCAUAAAAAUUAAAAACAUCAAACACCAAUCCUGUAAACUCUAAUAAUCAUAGCCAUUGAUUUAUUAUAUUUUCUAAAAUAUUAUCCACCAUUGUCAUUGUGGAAAUAUUAAAAAAUAAGCUCUAAACCUAUAUCUAAAUUACCGAGCUCAGCUAUUAUAAAACAUAAUCUAAAGUAACCCCGUAAUCUUCAUCUAAUUUACUAAUGCACAUCAUUAUAAAGCAUAACUUAAAAUGUCAUUCUAAAAUUUUAUCUAUGUUACCCACGUAUGUCGUUACUAAAAGUAACAUAAAGUAAAUACCUAAAUCUUAAUCUAAUUAUCUUCAUGUGCAUCAUAUAGAAAUGUCAAAAAGUAAACUAAUAUAUGAUUCUAAAUUACUUAUUUAUGUCAUUGUUAAUAUAAAAAUACUACAUUAAAGUAUAUACACAUGAUGAGUGCCACCAUUAGGCCAUGUAUACAUGUAUGUGCGGAAUCGAUGAAAAAUAUUGAUUUGUAUGCUAAACAUAAUGUAUAGAGGAUCGGAGGUGCGAUACAAAAUGGAAAAAGUAUGAAUAUGAAUGAAAAAGUGCAUAGAAUAAUUAUUAAUUAAAAAUCAAUCACAACUGGAUAAAGAUAGAUACAUAUCUGUAUAAGUAUUAUGUUGAAGUAUUGGAAAAAUAAUAGUAGUAGGUAAACAAUUUUGAUUAUUAGCUAAGAGUUUAAUUUCUAAAUAAUUUUCAAAUCCAAUAGCUUAUAAAAAUAUUAGCCCGUGCGGGAGCACGGGUUGAUGGACUAGUAUAUAUAAAGACAAUUUUCUAGAAGUUUUAUUAUGCGGGUCACUUAAGGAACAUACGAUUCCUUAUGUGAACCACUACUACAAAACUAAACUUCGAUAUUACCACAUCACUACUGGUUCACGAUGUUAAGAUCAAUUAAUACCGAUUCAAACAUCUCAAACCAGACAAUGAUUCGGCCCGACAUAUUAAUCAAUUCAACUACUCAUGGCCGCUGAAGUGAUGGAAUGUUAAGUCGUCGUCAUGCAUGGUACAAUAGUCGAUGAAGACCUCAAACGCCGCGAAGGGUCAUCAGUCUUCGAUAUAUACCACCUGAUUACAUCUUUGUAAUAUCAUCAAAGCUAACUUAAUUUGUUCUCAUUCAAAACGGGUGAAGAUUCCUAUGUUAUCACGCGAAGUACCUCUUUCCCUUAUUAUUUGUGCUCAACUUGUGAGCAGAGAAUGCUGUAAAAAACAAUUAUCUUUUAAGUGAAAUGGAGAAUUUCUUUUUUAAAAUGAAUAAUAUAAUUCUCCGUUUAACUUAAACAAAAAAUUAUUUUUUAUUAAAUGAAUACAAUUUGUUAAACAACAAAAUGAAUACAAAAUGAAAUCUAAGCAGCACUACUCCAAUAUUUUUUCCAAGUCACACUUGCUCUUGUUGGCCACCAGCCGCCUUGGUUGUUGGUCUGUCCCGGUGGCUACCUCCUCUGUGCACCCGUGAUAUUGAGAUCGAUGGAAGGAUAAGGAACACACAAGUGGGCUAUCUGUCUUUAUCAGAAAAAGAAAAGUGGACUGGAAUGGAAUAUGGUAAGCAAAGCAACGAUAUGCACACAGCUUCUUCUGACCACACAAUAUAUUAUCCAUGCGUUGGGUGACGUAAGCAUGAAAUCCCAUGAUGUCCGUCCACGAUAUAUCUUCGCUCCGAUCUAUACCAAAUCCAAUCCUUUAAUUUCUUUAUGUUGGCCUGCUAAAUGAGUUUAAUUUUUAUUUCUGAGACUCCCAUGUCCCAUGGACUUCAGUAAUUAACUACUUGUUAAAAGAAUACGUAAUUAAGAUCAUAGACAUUUUCAUGCCCACUUUUUGUAGUUUUUUUUUGAAAGACCCACUUUUGGUACUGCCUUGAUGUCUAAAAUGAGUUACAUUUGGAUCCGGGAAGUACUAUGCGUACUGAAAUCGUGAACCUUGCUGAAUUCGAUCGCAAGCACCAUCCUGGAAGUAUAUAUGCUAGAACUGUGGAAAUAUGAGCGUGCAAUCUACCUGCUAGGCCACGGCCAUACCUCAGAAAAUUUGUCGACUGAUCAAAAAUAUUUUGAGAUGAAGAAAUCUGAGGAUUCUUCGAAACCAUGUUGCCAACCUAGCUUCCACUAACAGUCUGCCAAAAGUAGGCCAUGCAAGAGACCAAAGGAGUCAUAUCCAUGCCUUGUUUACUGUUGCCAGUUGCUUAAAAUCACUGAAAGCACGUGGCUGCAGUUUGGAAGAUAUAUAGUUGGGCCAUAUCGUAUAUCCAUCAUGCAUUCAUGGCGGCCACAACAGCGUCUAGCUUGUACACAAGUGGCAAAUUGAUCAAUUUGCAUGCCCAUGAUAGGUCGUCAACAGUCCACGGAUGAUUAUUUUGGUAUAUGUGCUAAUUAUUCAGGACUCUUUAGUCCCGGUAAAAUUUUCACGUGAAAUAUGCGCGUACGCGAUGCAUGGGAUUCAAACCCGCAACCUCUUGCCUCAUGUGUAGCUUCCUUACCAUCUCACCUACACAACACAUCUGACUAAGUAGGGGGUGCUAUCCUUAUGUAUUCACCCGUGGGGGACCCUUUAAUCCUAGAGGUGGCCCUUUAGUCCCGGUCAACUGGGACCAAAGGGGUCUCCAUUACCACGAAGGUGUCUCUACCGACCACGAAAUUAAGAUUAGGGAUUAAAGCCUCUUUAGUACGGGGUCCAAAACUGACCGAGAUCUUUGUUGAGGGUGGAAGGUCAUUUCUCUAACAGUAGCCACUUUCCAAAGAAUUGAUUAGCAAGCUAGGUAGUAAGGCAUGUAUAUAUGUUUUCUCUUUUAUUUUUGCUUGCUAGCGUACUUGCAACUUUUUACUCCCUGUUCAAUUUGAUAUUAAGUGCCAAAGUAAAUAGACAUCUACGCUGUAGAACUCUUUUUUUAGAUAAUGCCUGAAAGCUCCGCCUCUCACAAGUGAGAAGGAGCAAAUCCACAAUUAUUAUACGUAGUGUUUAAACACUAGAUAUGACCACUGGCAAAUAUCAUGACAAAAAAGACAUUAGUUGCCCACACCACCAAAUAAUAACAAAUCUUGAAACUAAAAAGCUAUAAUAACAAAUCUUGAAAUUAACUAAAAGGUCUAUAAAUACAUCGGAGCCAAAGAACUUCAUUACCGACACCACCAAUCAGCAACUCUUUCCGGUGGUCACUGCGGUGCAACUGAGCCCAAAAUUUGCGUCAGCCGAGAAAAAAGUUUUUUAUUGCCAUUUUUCAAAUACAACAUCGUUUCUUGUUAGCCAUUUUGAUACAUACUCUCUCCAUAAGCUACCUCGUAAUAAUCACUAUGCCAGAAUCGAUUUGUAGUGGCACCAGCAAAUUAUUGUGCUGGCAGGCGUGAUUGUCACCCGCCAGCACAGUAGUUUCCUGUGCUAACGGAGAGCACCUGCCCGCACAAUAACCACUGUGGGUUAUUGUGCUGGCGGGCAAUAAUGUCACCCGCCAGUAAUAAUAUUUUUUCCACAUCUCUCCUAAGGAAUAAUAUCUCAAGCGUCCUUAUCCCUUCCCCUCUCUCUCCCGUGGUGAGCUCACUGGAAGAAGACGGGGUCCAUGUAUCCCAUCGUGGUUUGUGCGUCGGCCGAUGGUCUCCUCCAGCGUUUUCACAUGCACCUCUGAGCAGGCGCUGCACGGCUGCCCAGUACGGAGCUGACAUGCGGCAUCGAUGAUGGCUGCCUCGAGCGGACGUGCGGCGGCGUACGGGUGAGGGAGCGACGGGCGUCCAGAUGCGGCAGCAACGAUAGCCUGCGGCGGCGUACGGGCGACGGGCGUGGCAGCAACGACGACCAGCCUUUUUUAUUAUUCCAAAACUCGCUGUGCUGGCGGGCCACCUAACCACCGCUAGCAUAGUAAUCCACCCGCCAGCACAGAGUCCUAUUUGUGUUGGCUCAUGGUUGCUGGUGGGUCUACAGUGACGUUUUAACCGUCACUAAAAAAUCAUUUUUGGCGUAGUGAAUAUCAGUAUGCACAAUAAGGAAGUAAAAAAAAUAGCACGAAAAAAACAAAAAGAACAAAUAAAAUUUUACAUUCAAUCUUGGAUACAGUAAUGCACAUAAUUAAUCUUUUGGUUAGAUACUUUCUGUACAAAUGGAAUAAAUGUGGAUUAGACGCCAAUACCAUUGGCCAAAAGAGCAUGUCAAGAAGAGGUGAUUUGAGGUCUCCUCGACACCAGAACUACAAAGGGCACAGCUAUAAUCAUCAAGAAUUCUCCAUUUCCUGCAAAGGAUAUUCCUUGUGUCUAAUCUAUACUGGAGGCGGAACUACAAAGCGAUGUUUUUUCCCUCUUAAGCUAUAUACAUACGGCCUCAGGGCUCUGCAGGACUCCAAACUGUGUACUCUCUUCAUUAGAGUGAGGUAGAGCAUUAGUAGGGCUCACCCACUCUGAUAAGAUUGUGGAGGGAGGAAACCAUGGCCGCUCCCAACAUAGUUUUUCCACCAAGUCUCCCAACGAGUCUCCCACCAAGUCUCCCACCAAGGAUAAUACAACUGUUGUCACAGCUUUCCUGUUCCUGGCCAUUGUGGCCAUGUUCCUCUUGCAUACACUGGUCCGUUACGCCGAUAGUUCAGCUUUGUGUGACUAUUUCCAUUUGUAAGAAUCGAAAGCUAUAAUUAGCCAACAGGUCAGUCAAUAGAACAGACAAUUAACUUUAAAGGAAGGGACUAGUAUGUGCUACAGUGUAGCACUGUACAGCGUACAGUAGCUAUAGCCCCACGCACCUUGCAUAGAAUCUUGCAAAGCCUGAAAGCCUGAAAUUAAGGGAGACACUUUGACGAGUAGUGACUAGUGACCCGCAUGCAACUGCAAUAGAAUGGCAACCAACUCCAUCACGGGUUGUUCUCCUCGACCAAAAGCAACUAAUCAAGGCAGGCCCUACGAUCAAAGCUAGUCGGUCGUCUCGGUGGUACGCCUUCACUGUGACCCGAUGAUGCACACAUUAUGCAUUUGGCUUCACUGAAUUUAAUUUCUUCCGCUGAGAAGAAAGCAAGUGUAUCGGAAUCUUCAUCUCGCUACCUAGCACACGGAUUCAUAACAACUUUAUGCUUGUGCAGUUGAUUUCCAAAUACAAAAAGAACAGAUAAAGUUUUAUAUUCAAUCUGGUCCGCAGUAAUGCUCGUAAUUAGUCUUUUGCUUAAUGUUAAAACACGUCAAAUUGGGAUAUGCUUGUGCAGUUGAUUUCCAAAUACAAAAAGAACAGAUAAAGUUUUAUAUUCAAUCUGGUCCGCAGUAAUGCUCGUAAUUAGUCUUUUGCUUAAUGUUAAAACACGUCAAAUUGGGAUAUUUGCGCAGGCCACCUUGCUGGUUUGCUUGAAAUAAAAGUAGCAAACAAUUUGACUGGUCUACCGUGAUUUUACCAUUGGCUAAAAGAGCAUGUGAAGAAGAGGUGAUUUGAGGUCUCCUCGAUACCAGAACUACACAGGGCACAGCUAUAAUCAUCAAGAAUUCUCCAUUUUCUGCGAAGGAUAUUCCUUGUGUUUAAUCUGUCCUGUAGGCGGAACUUCAAAGCGAUGGUUUUUCUCUUAAGCUAUAUCCAUGCAUACGGCCUCAGGGCUCUGCAGGGACUACUCCAAAUUAACUGUGUGUACUCUCUUCAUUAGAGUGAGGUAGAGAAUUAGUAGGGCUCACCCACUCUGAUAAGAUUGUGGAGGGAGGAAACCAUGGCCGCUCCCAGCAUGGUUUUUCCUCCAAGUCUCCCACCGAGUCUCCUCCCACCAAGGAUAAUACAACUGUUGUGACAGCUUUCCUGUUCCCGGCCAUGUUCCUCUUGCAUACACGGGGUCCGUUACGCCGGCGGUGGAGCUUUAUUUGUGUGAUUAUAUAUUUCCAUUUGCAAGAAUCGAAAGCUAUAAUUAGCCUCUAGGUCGGUCAACAGAACAGACAAUUAACUUUAAAGGGAGGGACCAGCAUGUGCUACAAUGCAGCACUGUAGUACAGCGUACAGUAGCUAGAGCCCCACCAAGCAUAGAACCUUGAAAGGCCUGAAAUUAAGGGGCCGGCGCACUUGCCCCUUGUUUACUUCAUCCCCAACUUCCAACUUUGACACUAUGCAAAAAGAAGAUUCCCCAUCACAUCAAACUUGCGGUACAUGCAUGGAGUAAUAAAUGUAGACGAAAUUAAAAACUAAUUGCACAGUUUUGUUGUACUUUGCGAGACGAAUCUUUUGAGCCUAAUUAGUCAAUAUUUGGAUAAUAAUUCACAAAUACAAACGAAACGCUACAGUGUGCUACAGUGCUAUAACAGUAAUUUGGCACCUCCCAAUUUUACCAACUAAACAAGGUCUUGGACGCGUAGCGACCCGCAAGCAACUGCCAUAGAAUAAUGGCGCAACAUGCUGGUGGUUCUCCUCGACCAAAAUUAAAGCAACGAAUCAAGGCGGGCCCUUACGAUCAAAGCUAGUCGAUCGUCUCCGUGGUACGCCUUCAUCGUGCCCCGAUGAUGCACACAUUAUGUAUUAUUUGUGUUCACUGAAUUUAAUUUCUUCCGCUGAGAAGAAAGCAAGUGUAUCGGAAUCUUCAUCUCGCUACCUAGCAUGCGGAUCCUACCCUGGUGAUGCUUGGCCAUUUUGAUACUACUGUGUUACUAUAAGGUAGCUCGAUCAUAAUAUCCAUGUCUUGUUUACUGUUGCCAGUUGCUUAAAAUAACUGAAAGCACGUGGCUGCAGUUUGGAAGAUAUAGAGCUGGGGCCAUAUCCGUAUAUCCAUCAUGCAUUCGUGCCCGCCACAACAGCGUCUAGCUAGAUGGUAGGUCGUCAACAGCCCACGGAUGAUUAUUUUGGUAUAUGUGGGCAAACCUUCAACAGUCCUACUAGUUUUGCUUUUCUGCCAGCAUGAACGAACUGACGAAGGUUCCUGCAGAGGUUUCUACUCGAGGUAUGAUGAGUAAUUUCAUCACUUAUGCUCCAAUGUGGAGCUUAACUAGUACGGUCGACGUGUCGACAUGAUGCCCAUAGCACUCGUCGGUGAUAUAUGCAUUUAAGCAUUUGGAAUUUCAUUCUUCAGUUAAGGAAGAAACAAAAGUAGCAAUCUCUUAGGCCCACUGGUGGAAGUGAUCCUUAGUUCCGGUUGGAGAGACGCACAGGUCUUAAAAUUUAAUUGGGACUAAUUAUUUAAGACUAAAGGUCCUCUUAGUCUAGGUAAAUUUUUCACGUAAAAAUUUAUACCGUGAUUUUACCAGAAGGCUUUCAUUCUAUUGGAUAUGGUCUACAGACGCUAUGUUUUUUUCUUAAGCUAGCUAUAUAUAUGCGGCCUCAGGGAUCUCUGGACUCCAAACCAUGUACUCUCUUAAUUAGAGUGAGGUAGAGAACUGGGGCUAGUCCACUCUGAUUAGAUUGUGGGGGAGGAAACCAUGGCUACUGCCGGUAUGGUUUGGGCACCAAGUCCCUCACCAAGUUCCCCUCCCUCGAAAGGUUGCCGUAAGGAUAAUACAGCUGGUGUGGAAGCUUUGGUCUUCCUAGCUGUUGUGGCGAUGUUCCUCUUGCAUAUACUGGGUCCAUUACGCCGGCGGUUUAGCCACGGUCUCCUUCAUCACAUCGUGAUUGGAGUCUACACGCUCUCCUAUCCGCUGGUGGGCUACACCAUUGGGCUGAUGCAGUCUACCACUUGUUACUUCAACGACUUCACCGUGUGGGCUGUGUUCCUGCUUCUGCUCCUCAGCAGCACGGAUAGCCUCACGGCUUGCCGCCUCAACGACAUCGACAACUGGAAGAGCAUCUGCAUCAAACAACUCUUUAAGGGAUUCUUGCUGGUGUCUAUCAUGCUA
This 34209-nucleotide long non-coding RNA is filed under the name Setaria viridis. RNAcentral describes it as "long non-coding RNA (SVIR_LNC010023)". The record is from RNAcentral. Lineage: Eukaryota; Viridiplantae; Streptophyta; Magnoliopsida; Poales; Poaceae.